This 290-nucleotide ribosomal RNA is filed under the name uncultured bacterium. RNAcentral describes it as "partial 16S ribosomal RNA". It matches the Rfam family "Bacterial small subunit ribosomal RNA", at positions 29 to 333 of the family's 1533-position model. The record is from RNAcentral.
AACGAACGCUGGCGGCAUGCCUAACACAUGCAAGUCGAACGUGAUCCGGGACUUCGGUUUCGGUGAAAGUGGCGGACGGGUGAGUAACGCGUGGGAACCUGCCCAGUGGUAGGGGAUAACCGCGGGAAACUGCGGCUAAUACCCUAUGUGCCCUGCGGGGCAAAGAUUCAUCGCCAUUGGAGGGGCCCGCGUCGGAUUAGGUAGUUGGUGGGGUAACGGCCGUACCAAGCCUUCGAUCCGUAGCUGGUCNGAGAGGAUGAUCAGCCACACUGGGACUGAGACACGGCCCA